ACGGAAGGCAGCAGUGGGGAAUAUUGGGCAAUGGGCGAAAGCCUGACCCAGCAACGCCGCGUGAAGGAAGAAGGCCUUCGGGUUGUAAACUUCUUUUACCAGGGACGAAGGACGUGACGGUACCUGGAGAAAAAGCAACGGCUAACUACGUGCCAGCAGCCGCGGUAAUACGUAGGUUGCAAGCGUUGUCCGGAUUUACUGGGUGUAAAGGGCGCGUAGGCGGGGAUGCAAGUCAGAUGUGAAAUCCAUGGGCUUAACUCAUGAACUGCAUUUGAAACUGUAUCUCUUGAGUGUCGGAGAGGUAGAUGGAAUUCCUAGUGUAGCGGUGAAAUGCGUAGAUAUUAGGAGGAACACCAGUGGCGAAGGCGAUCUACUGGACGAUAACUGACGCUGAGGCGCGAAAGCGUGGGGAGCAAACAGGAUUAGAUACCCUGGUA
This is a ribosomal RNA of 437 nucleotides. It matches the Rfam family "Bacterial small subunit ribosomal RNA", at positions 341 to 792 of the family's 1533-position model.